GGUCCCGUAGCUCAGCUGGAUAGAGCACCGGCCUUCUAAGCCGUAGGUCGCAGGUUCGAAUCCUGCCGGGAUCGCCA
This 77-nucleotide transfer RNA is filed under the name Brucella intermedia. RNAcentral describes it as "Ochrobactrum intermedium tRNA-Arg". It matches the Rfam family "tRNA". From Rfam's summary of the family: Transfer RNA (tRNA) molecules are approximately 80 nucleotides in length. RNAcentral also lists the same sequence under 39 other names. Lineage: Bacteria; Pseudomonadati; Pseudomonadota; Alphaproteobacteria; Hyphomicrobiales; Brucellaceae. The record is from RNAcentral.